GACGAACGCUGGCGGCGUGCUUAACACAUGCAAGUCGAACGGAAAGGCCCUGCUUUUGUGGGGUGCUCGAGUGGCGAACGGGUGAGUAACACGUGAGUAACCUGCCCUUGACUUUGGGAUAACUUCAGGAAACUGGGGCUAAUACCGGAUAGGAGCUCCUGCUGCAUGGUGGGGGUUGGAAAGUUUCGGCGGUUGGGGAUGGACUCGCGGCUUAUCAGCUUGUUGGUGGGGUAGUGGCUUACCAAGGCUUUGACGGGUAGCCGGCCUGAGAGGGUGACCGGCCACAUUGGGACUGAGAUGCGGCCCAGACUCCUACGGGAGGCAGCGGUGCGGAAUAUUGCACAAUGGGCGGAAGCCUGAUGCAGCAACGCCGCGUGCGGGAUGACGGCCUUCGGGUUGUAAACCGCUUUCGCCUGUGACGAAGCGUGAGUGACGGUAAUGGGUAAAGAAGCACCGGCUAACUACGUG
RNAcentral lists this ribosomal RNA (468 nucleotides) under uncultured bacterium. Its description in RNAcentral is "partial 16S ribosomal RNA". It matches the Rfam family "Bacterial small subunit ribosomal RNA", at positions 28 to 507 of the family's 1533-position model. The record is from RNAcentral.